This 349-nucleotide RNase MRP RNA is filed under the name Heterostelium album PN500. RNAcentral describes it as "Polysphondylium pallidum PN500 RNase MRP". It matches the Rfam family "RNase MRP". Rfam says of the family: RNase MRP is an enzymatically active ribonucleoprotein with two distinct roles in eukaryotes. The record is from Rfam by way of RNAcentral. Lineage: Eukaryota; Evosea; Eumycetozoa; Acytosteliales; Acytosteliaceae.
GAUGCACCUAUAGAAUUGUAAUCAAAGCUCACAAAUGGAUCGUUCAUAAGACAAACGAUAGGUAUAUAGCUAACAGACUAUAACACAGUAUAGUGCUUUGGGAAAAUUCCUCAGACCCUACGAUAGAAAUUAUCAGCAGUGAUUGCAUUGUAACUUCGAAUUUCAUGUCAUUCGUUUCAACGGAGAAGGUCGCCAGCUAGACUGGAGUUCACAAGUGCCGAAUGUCGUCGUUACCUUGGUCAUAGUAAUAGAAUAAUACAAUUAAGUGCUCUUGUACACGAUGGUUCCUCGUAAAGAAGUUCUUGUCGUCAAAGCACUCAACUCAAUGAGGCUUACUCAGACGGUGCAU